Long non-coding RNA from Myotis lucifugus (little brown bat), 422 nucleotides. RefSeq lists it as uncharacterized. Lineage: Eukaryota; Metazoa; Chordata; Mammalia; Chiroptera; Vespertilionidae. The record is from RefSeq and is a predicted model, not a curated record. The transcript is spliced from 3 exons.
GUGGAGCCUGCUCUUGUUGCACCAGUGAAGACCCAGGACUGCAGUCCCUGGUCCCUACAGCAUUUGAAUGCCUUUCUCACAUGGCUCAUUCUUCCUCUCAUCGAGGUUGCCUAAACCUGGGCUGCUUCUCUCAGUGAUUUCCUAAUAAAAGACUGCUUUCUACUCCAUUUGUUUGGUUCCUAUGACUUCUAUGCUCCUGGAAGCUCCUGGAGAAAUCAAGUACAUAGCAAGAAUUCCAGGAUAAUAGAAUGAUUUGAACCAAAGUGGAGAAUCAAAGAUAAUGCAAUUUGGGGAGAAGAUAAGAACAAUUAAACGCAUUUCCCUUCUGGGGGAAGAUCUCAAAUAUGACCAGAGUUGUGCUUUCGAUGGCUUGUAAUUUGGAAACUGUGUUUAACAAGUUGUUUCCUGUCCAUUCUUCUACG